RNAcentral lists this ribosomal RNA (475 nucleotides) under uncultured Acidovorax sp. Its description in RNAcentral is "bacterial SSU rRNA". It matches the Rfam family "Bacterial small subunit ribosomal RNA", at positions 907 to 1382 of the family's 1533-position model. The record is from RNAcentral. Lineage: Bacteria; Pseudomonadati; Pseudomonadota; Betaproteobacteria; Burkholderiales; Comamonadaceae.
UAGAAUUGACGAGGACCCGCACAAGCGGUGGAUGAUGUGGUUUAAUUCGAUGCAACGCGAAAACCUUACCACCUUUGACAUGUACGGAAUCCUUUAGAGAUAGAGGAGUGCUCGAAAGAGAGCCGUAACACAGGUGCUGCAUGGCUGUCGUCAGCUCGUGUCGUGAGAUGUUGGGUUAAGUCCCGCAACGAGCGCAACCCUUGUCAUUAGUUGCUACAUUCAGUUGGGCACUCUAAUGAGACUGCCGGUGACAAACCGGAGGAAGGUGGGGAUGACGUCAAGUCCUCAUGGCCCUUAUAGGUGGGGCUACACACGUCAUACAAUGGAUGGUACAAAGGGUCGCCAACCCGCGAGGGGGAGCCAAUCCCAUAAAGCCAUUCGUAGUCCGGAUCGCAGUCUGCAACUCGACUGCGUGAAGUCGGAAUCGCUAGUAAUCGUGGAUCAGAAUGUCACGGUGAAUACGUUCCCGGGUCUU